Molecule: ribosomal RNA, 618 nt
Filed under: uncultured candidate division MSBL2 bacterium
Lineage: Bacteria
Description: bacterial SSU rRNA
Rfam family: Bacterial small subunit ribosomal RNA
Source: RNAcentral
CAGUCAACGAUGAUCACUAAGUUUUGGUGAGAUUAUUAAAUCAUCAGAGCUGCCGCCAAAUGCAUUUAAGUGAUCCGCCUGGGGAGUACGUCCGCAAGGAUGAAACUCAAAGGAAUUGACGGGGACCCGCACAAGCGGUGGAGUAUGUUCUUUAAUUCGAUGCAACGCGAAGAACCUUACCUGGGCUUGACAUCACCGAAAUCACCUUUAUGCGGUGAGUGCCUCGAUUUAUCGAGGAAUCGUGUGACAGGUGCUGCAUGGCUGUCGUCAGUUCGUGUCGUGAGAUGUUGGGUUAAGUCCCGCAACGAACGCAACCCCUGUCUUUAGUUACCAGCAUUAAGUUGGGGACUCUAGAGAGACUGCCAAGGUGACAACUUGGAGGAAGGUGGGGACGACGUCAAGUCAUCAUGGUCCUUACGUCCAGGGCUAGAAACGUACUACAAUGGUUGGCACAGAGGGCAGCAACACAGCGAUGUGAAGCAAAUCCUUAAAACCAACCUCAGUUCGGAUCGGAGUCUGCAACUCGACUCCAUGAAGUUGGAAUCGCUAGUAAUCGCGGAUCAGCAAUGCCGCGGUGAAUACGUUCCCGGGUCUUGUACACACCGCCCGUCAAUGCAA